Molecule: long non-coding RNA, 27791 nt
Organism: Columba livia (rock pigeon)
Lineage: Eukaryota; Metazoa; Chordata; Aves; Columbiformes; Columbidae
Exons: 9
Source: RefSeq, a predicted model, not a curated record
UUUGGGGUUUUUUUAGUUUUGGAGCUCUUGUGUCAAGUUUAUAUGCUGGCAAAGGCAGGAAACCAUUGUGUACAAUAUGGCAAACAGAGCGAGCAGACAGCCAGGCCAAAGGGCUAUAAAUUAUUAUUUUAAUUUCUUGGUUUAUGGUUUCUCAUUGACUCCAGAUCAAUAGGAAAAAGGUGCAUUGAGCCACUUCUUUUAAUUAAAGGGCUGCUGUGAUUAGGCUUCAGUGAGGGAUGGAGACAAGUGUGAAAAAGAUGUGCCUGGAAGCAGCUGCUGGCUCCCAGUGCAGGGUGUACUGGCUCCCAGUGCGGGAGGUGCUGGUUCCCAGUGCAGGAGGUGCUGGUUUUCCCUUUGCCGGGUUAGUUGCUUGUGUUUUCUGGAGCUGCAGCCCAACUGUGGUACAGACGCUCCCCCCAGUUUCCUCCCAGCCUGUUCUGUGUUUCCAUUCUCACAUCCUAAGCCAGGGGACCUUGUUUCCCGUUGAACAAAAAAGCAGCGUUUUUUGGUGGAAUCUUCUGCUUAUUUCAAAACAAUUCCAAUUUCAUUUUGCCAUAUACUCAGGACACUUUCCCUGUGGUGCUGAGAAAUCAUUAGCAUUUUGCACCUAACAGGUGCAGGGAGAUUUUUCUUUCCGAAGGAUUUCCAGAGCGAAUUGCACAUCUGUAACAAAGCUUGUAUUUUUCUGCUCAUCGCCCUCAGACAUGACCAUAAUUAAAUGCAGAUAUUAAAACUGAAGCCUAGUUUAUGUUCCAUAAUUCUUAGGAGAAUGACCCAUCCUAUGAUACUUGUUUGAAGUCUUCGUUAACCUUUAAUCAUUUGAUGCUGAGUCUGGCUUUGAUUUUGCUGCAGGAAAAAAAAAAAAAAGUGUAUUUUGCAAAAUCUUCAGAGAGGAAAUAUGCCAAUCCUGCGGCAUUUCUCAUUGUGCUGGGAAUGUAACGUUUGAAAUCUCUUAGGUGAUAAAGCCUGUGGAAUGAAGGCUUUUUCUGUUUCCAUACUCGGGCUCUGCCUCUUCUAAGGCCGGUAUCCAGCACCGGAAUCAUAACUUUGAUGCUGCUGGAGCUGGUACAUGUGAUGGAGCCCGGGACAGCUCGAUGCAGGUCUCAAAUGCAGAAUUUCCUCAAUACUAAGCUAUGCUGAGGAGAUACUUGAGGAAACACAGGUGUUCAGAAAAGCAGAACUAGAAAUGUGAACUCUUCAGCACAUUCCGUGAUAAAAUCAGAGCCGAGAGCUCUCAGCAACAUGCCUGUUUGGUUUUGCCAUGCGGGAGGUGGUGGUGACCUGGGCUGAGCCCUCAGAUAAGGCAGUGAGGUGCAGAGUCCCCCUGCCUGCUCCCACUGCAUGCCCAGGGCGGGGACUCAUCACGUGAAAAAUCCACUUUGCACGGCGGGUUUGGCUCCGUGCCGGGGAGCCGGGCGGCCCGUCGGAGGUGGAAUCCUGGGCUGUUGUUCUGAUGCUUGUACAAGCUGUUUCCUUCUCCAAAGAAUGAGAAACAAACCCCCUGAGCUCCAGCCAAAACCUAAUAACUGCUGGUAAGUGGCUUGUCAGCAGGGCCGGGGACAGGCGAUGGUGCAAGUGAAACGGUGGCUCGUGGAGCGACAGACGUGCUGGAAACCUCGUCCCCUCCUCAUGCAAGAGGCUGAACCCAGCUGUGCUGUGGAGCAGGUUUGCAGGUGCUCAUCACUGACCUGGGUGCUCAGUUUUCAUGCUCAGCUCCUGGGGCUCAAGCUGAAACCCUGCCUGGAGGCUUGGAGUUCUGCUUUGGACUGAAGCUCAUUGUUGGCGUCCAGUGCUGGGGCACCCGUAGGGCAGAAGUGAAGGCUGGACUUCUGACUGCAGCUUAGGCUGGACUUCUGACUGCAGUGUGUGACCGGAGAGUGUCUCCGUUCUGGGGUGCCGCGCGUGUCCCCUUGGCACCCCAGCUGGCAGCGGUCCCACCCGAGGAUGCGUCCCACAGCAGCUGGAGCUGUGCUGCCUGCAGGAGCCCUUCUCCAGGACAUCUUGAGGCUGAUUGCAGAGGUCAGGACUCAACUGGAAAGACCGCAGCGGGUUGCUGACUGGCAUCCACAGUCCAGAUAAGAUAAAAACAACUGAUGACAGCAGGGAAGUGAAACAGUCAUCUCAGCACUUGGAUUAGUGCCCAGCAAAGAGGAAGGGAAAAAAAAAAAAUGAAGAGGGCCGGUAGGGAGGGGAAGGGGUGGAAUAUAUAUUAGAAUAGAAACUCUGGAAAAAGCUAUCAGGAGGCAGCAGAUUUGGGUGUUAAAUAUUUAUGAAUUAGCAGCACUUGUCGCUUUCUCUCUGAGCCACGAGUUUCCAGGACAGGCUGCAAACCCAUCACCAUGUCCUGGCAAAUGGAGUUGUGGUGGGAAGAGCAAAGGCACAGAGUGGCGGUGGCAGCGGGAGGGAAGGUGACCGGCUCCAGCGGGUCUGGCGGCACCAAGACUCGCAGCAGUGCAGGAUAAAUCCAGAUGAAGAGGAGGAAGGAUAAAUGAGGUGCCAUAAAAGUGACUAUUAUUAUUCAGAAAAUUCUGCUGAAGAGCAUCGGAGUAAUUAAAUCAUAAUUGCUUAUUACUCAGCUGAAGUGACAUUGUAAGUGGCUGAAGAUCUGUGACGAGGAGGGGAAGGGAAAGUCUUGGUUUUUUUGCUGUGCUCCAGGUUCGUCUCCAUCACUGUGCAUCCCUGUGGCACAAGUAGAAACCCCAGCUCAUGGUGAAGGUCAAAAGGCCCCAGGUGAGCCCAUAAAGCUCAUUUGCAGCAUGGCACCCGAACAGAGCCCCCCGUGAAUGUUGCAUUAUCAGCUGCUAUGGGACAGGGAGCUGGGAGCAGCUUCACCUCCUGGGGCCAGAGAUGCCCAAGCACUGUUGGGCUGACCCAGGCCAGGUUGGUGUUUGUUCCUGGAGAUGAGCACCUUUGGGUCAGUCUGACCCCCUAAACUCUGACAGCAUUAAGAGAGCCAUUCCCUGCCCCGAAACAAAGAACCUGCAAAUCCUGUAAGCACUUAACUACACAGAGAUGUUUAUGGAACAUUUUAAAGGGCUCAUGUGAUCUGGCAGCACGGAGGAGACGUGGUGUUGAGGUUUGGAAGCGUGAGCUUUCCCAGCUUCCUGGCUUUCCUUUCGCCAGCCAGGAUGGGAUGAUAAACUGUAUUUUCAACUUUAGGUAACGUGUUCCAAAUUUUGGUGGAGUUUCCUCAUUCUUGUUUCAAAGUCAUUCUGUGUUUCACAUUCUGAAAGGAGGUCAUUUGCCGCAUAAGUACAGCUGAACAUCUCUCCUUUUUUUUUUUUUUCACCCCUUUUUGCUGUGUCCCUUCCUACCUUCCCUCCUUCACGCUGCCUUGGGCAGGGAGAGCUGCCCGUUCACUCCCCAUGUCCCCCCCUCCCCAGGGAGCAUCCAUGCUGGAGAAUGAAGGACCAAACCAUGGCUGCAUCCCGCUGCGAUGGCACGGCUCUGCUCAGCAUGUCCAGCUGGCACAACAAGGUCUGAGGUUCAGCACUGAGAACUGGGCAUGUUUGCUGGGAAAAAUGCUGGAAAUGAUGGAAAAGAGCAUCCAUUCUGUGGCGGUCUCCAGGAUAACCCCGUGUUCGCUGUGCCACGUGCUCGCGGGAAGUGUCAUUCUCCAGCGCUUCAAGGAGCAGAGAAGCGAGUUACAUUUCCACCAGGCGUAUUUAUUUUUAUUUUUUAAAUAGCUGUAAAAUGAGUCACCUGGCACGGCGGCAGAACGCAGCCCACCAACAAGGAGCACAUCGUGGAGCUGCCAGGGAAUCUGCUGCCAAUAAAGCACUCGUGGCUUCAGACAGCCGCUUGUUUUGGGGCUGGCGGGAGCCAGCUGGGAGGCGAGAACGCAGCGGUGCCAGCGCCGACCCCUUUGCCGGGACCCGUCGCGCUCGCUGCCCGCCCCUGUUUUGUCUAAUUACACGGGGCUAACGGGGAGAGCACAAAAGUUGCCCCCCCGCCUCUGCAGGGAGAGCCUGGCCAGGAGACACCAGGGAACUUGUGCUCUAUAAAAAUAUAUAUAUUUUUUUUCUUCUUGCAGCAAAGGCUUCCCUAAAUGAGAAUCACCUGUGGGUUUCUUCCCAUCCUGAUGCACAACCCAAAAGCUUCAUCCCAUUCCCUGUGUCCAGGGGCAGUGGACACAGCAUCACCCGGAGCAGCUGGAUGCCCCUGGCUUUGGAGCAGCCUUGGCAGGGGUUAAACAGCUGAAGGAGAGAGAAAAGGGCUCUAGUGAUGCAAACAAUAAAAAGUCUCCACAUUCCACUGAAGUUUCUUGAGCAACUGGCAUUUGCCCAUAAAUGUACUUAAGCAGAAAAUCACCAGAAAAGUGCUAUAAUCUGACAGAUUUUUCACAGGCUUAAAUAUUCAUGAAUUAAAAGAAUUGGCAGUAUUUUCUACAUUAUUAGCUUUCAUCAUGGCUACAGGAGCAGUUGGUGCACUGGCUGCUCUUCAAAAACUAUUAAUCUAGUCUGUCAUCACAGCAGCCAUUUUUUAAUUAGCUACUUUACUGAACGAUCUGGUGCAGUAGUGAGACUGGAACAUUUAAAUGGUAUUAAAGUUUUAAAGGUGCCCCUUUCCAUUUUUAAACAAAGUUCUGAAACACAGCGAUAGGGAAACAAAUGCAGCAGCAGGCUACUUCAUUUCAAUGGUUAACUUCUUAUUUAUUUUGGAAAAAAAUCAGGUCUUGGAAAAUUGAGCCCCUUCUACUAGGAGAAGAAAUUGCAAGAAUUAAAUUGUUCUUUAAACUGAAGUUCCCAACAUUCCAGCCUGAUGAAAUCAAACUGAGAUGCUUGUAGCCGAAAUACCAUGUGCAGAGGCACUAACAGGACGUGGCAACGUCCUGAAGUUGGUUUUUGGUCCCGGGGUAUUUGAGCACAGUGGUGUAAAUCGUCCCCCGGCCACACAAGACCCUCUGCUGCAUCCCAGCACAGCCCUGCACGCCUGCGGGAGCAUCUCCUGGGCAGGGGAAACAUGAGGGCCCCCCUGUCACAUUGGCUUUUACCACAACAUCGAUUUGAGCUUUUUUCUUGUACAGGAGUUGUUAAGCAUUUUGCAGUGUGCAACUCAGAGCUCUGGCAGGUUUGAAGUGUCUUCUUCCAAAAAGCAAGGGCCCUGCAAUGAGCAUCCAUGAAGGCUGCUCCUGCAUCCAUGGAGGAUGGUCCUGCAUCUGCACAGGAUGGUCCUGCAUCCAUGGAAGCUGCUCCUGCAUCAGUGGAGGAUGGUCCUGCAUCCAUGGAGGCUGCCGUGAAGCACAUCUUCAGCCUCAUCUGGGGAGUAUGUACCGGCUGUGAACUCGGUGCUGCCUUUACCAGGCACUGAAGCUGCAGCAAUGCUGUUGACAUUAAAUCUCUCCAUGGCCCGUGGUCUGCCCUUGCUUUGGCUGGUAGGUGAGCUGGAUUUAUAAUUGGCCUUUUAUUUUGGAUUUACCAACCCCAUGAUCAUUGCACAUGUGAGCUCUGAGCUGCUCUGGAGGAAGCUGCUCCAGGGUGGGCACACCAGCCGAAAUGUCCGCUGGAAACAUCUCCUGACCUGUGCGGUGCUGCAGAGCUGGGGUUCAGCAAGAGGCAUGGAGGGUGGGACAAGCCCCUCUGUCCCCAGCCGUCCCCAUCCCCGGGUGCUCCCUGGCUGGCGGUGCUGGGGAGCACACCGAGAGGUGCUCGCUGGCCUGGAGUGGGCACAGUUGGGGUCAGACCCGGCAGCAAGGGGUCGGCUACAGCCCCUGAGCACCACGGCCUACGUGCCACAUCCAAGCUUUGCUCUAACUCAACUUCAUCAGCCAUGCACUUGGCUCUGCCUAUUUUGAACCCUGCUUUGUCGUCUGUGCCAGAAAUGCUGCUCUCCUGCUUAUUAUUUGCAUGUGAAAACACAGAAAAAUUAUGUCUUCAUGGUGGUUUUAAAUGUGCCUUUUUUGGCAUCAAGUGGCUACUUCUCCGAUCUCCGCUGCUUGUUAUUGCCAGAGCCCUAAUUUGUGCAUUAUAGUGCCAGUGUCCUGCUGACCAGGGAAGGGAGUUGCUGUAUGUUCAAGAUUUUUUCCCCUAUUGUCAUGUAAAGCAACGAGCGUAAAGAAAUUGGCAGCUAAACUGCCAAUGCUGCAGCUAUAACCUUUCAAGAAGUUGCUCUUUGUCAGCCCUUCUACCAUGAGAAGUCAUUUUAAAGCAGGUUUUUCUUCUACUUGAUAUCGUACUUACUGUCUGCAAGGACCCAGACAGGCUCUGGCAGGUCACCAAAGGGGAUAUAUUAAAAGGCACACACACAAACCGCUGCCUCUUUCCACCCUGUUCACAGCUCCAGCUGAAACACCGUGUGAGCCCCCUGAGCCUGCAAAGCACUGAGCUUCUGGGGUUUUUUUGAUGAUGUGGAAUAGGGAAAGUGUAAAAGUCAGGGGGUUCAGCUCGGGGUUAAUGCUGUCUGGGAAACUUUUUUUUUUUGAAAGUGUAUUUGCACAGGUUAAGUAUUUUGGUAGUGAACAGGCACAACUUGAUCCUCUGUGAACCUCAAACCAUGCACCCUGAUUCUUGAGAACAAGGGGAAAAAAACCGCUCUAUAACUUCAAGGGAGGAAGAAUCGGGAAAUAUACUCCCAGAAAAUCUCUUCUUGACAGUGAGUGGUUUUUUUUUGGAGUUCCCUCGGUUUGUUUGCGUUUGUGGUUUUGCUUGUUCCAUGGUGAAGUUUUCUGCCCGUUGCUGUGGGGCGGUCGCGCAUCCCCCGAGGAGAUCCGGAGCCGGCAAUGUGGCAGUCGAUGGCUCUUUAGCACCUUUUGUCUCCACUGUCCCUGUCCCCACUUACACACCCAAGCUGGUGCCAGGGUGACAGUCACACCCCCCGGGGACUCCUCACCGUCAUCUCCCCCGGCUGGGGGGAGCAGGGGGGGCGGGACCCCCGGUCAAUAGAGAGUCUUCAACAGAGGAGGUGCCCGGAGAAGCUGAGAAGUUUCUGGACGAUGCUCUAAUGACCACAAGCCAGAUCCGACCAGGGUGGAAAACGGGCCCCCCCCGACCUCCCCCUGGAGGGGUCUGGGAGCAGCGGGGCUGCCACAGGAACUCCCCGGGAUCGGGAUCCGUCGGAGGAGACCCCCCCGGAUAGAGCCCUCGCCUCCUCUUUGGAACUCCACUGCAGAAACAAGCAUGGAAGCCGACAUAAUUAAAGGCUUCUUUUUCCCCAGCCGUGGUCCUCUGGUCUUUGAAGAGCUCGGGGAUCCCUGAGGAAUGCUCUGAACUCGGCAAUAUUUUGAUAGCUGCAAUAACAUAAUCAAAAGAUGCUUUCAUGAAGAGAGCACCUUGUGCGAAUUGAGGCCGCCCCCUCUCCCCCCGCCGAUCGCCGAUUUAAUGGGGUCCAGAGCUGGAGCGCAGAUGGGGAGAUGUAUUUUCUGUCUGUGCUUCUCCAGGGAUGCUGCCUGGUGCGAUGCUCAAGUGCUUUUUUGAAAAAGGAUGGCUUUUCCUUCCAAAUGUUUCCAGUCACCGCUGUGUGAAGAGCUGCUGCCAGAUGCGUUGAGCCUCCAAGGCAGCGUCCACAAAACACCGCGGUAAGGCCGGGGAAGAUCGUAUGGUAAAUGUCGAUGUGUUAACAGCAGCCACAACAUUCUAUUCCUGUCCGGAUCGGGAUAAACGGUGAAGCCGGCUCUGUGGGAUGCGGUGGAAUAUUUUAAGCAAGAGUCACGUGCAUUGACUUAAAAUUAGAUGUACCCGAAACAAAACCCUUCAUCUGAAAACCCACAAGCCCAAGCCCACCUCAUGACGGCUUUUUGCACCUGGUUUUCAUCUGUAUAAUGGGUCCACCCAGCCCUUGGGGUAGGGAUACCACAAAACCCUGGGAAUGUUUGAUGUUUAGAACCAUUUCCUUGCAGUUUGGACCCCUCUGAGAUGAACUGAACUUUCUAUCAGUUUGGAUUUGCUCUUCUUCUUCUGUGAGACCGCGUCCCUCUGCCAAACCCUUCAGACGUGCGUGAGUCUCGCCAGGUUGCAUGCUAUGUUACAAAUCUGAAAUGGUAUCGCAAAAACUCACCAUUUUUUGCUCCAAACUGUUAAAUGAGCCUGAUUGAGUCAGGAGAAGCUCUUGGUCUCUGCUUGCUGAAGCACUGGGAAUGCACACGUGCUGGAGGUUUCCCUUUCAUCCCGGGUUGUCAGAGGCUCAGAGAUGUGAGCUCUGCCGCACCGCGGCACCAGCUCGGCUGCGUGGCCGCCUUCUCCGCCAGGCCCCUUCUGCUCGCUCCUGUGAAGCUUUAGCAUUUCUCUUUUAUCUCGCACUUGCAAGCUUCAAAGAUGCCGUGAAGCCAAGUUCUACCUUGCUGCAGAUGAGGAUUAACCAGCUCGCGCUUCCCGUACUCGUCCUGCAGAACUGGAAUUGAUUUAUUUUUGUUACAGCAGCAAAUAGACAGCAGUUCCUGGACAGAUGCAAAACCAGGCUUCUCAGAGGCUUUUUAGCAUCCUGGCUGGAAGGGCGACGCCACCAUCUCCAGUUUUUGAUUGCCAAAGUGUAUGCAAAUCAAAGCCCUCUUCCCGCUUUGCCUGCACAGCCUGUUUCCCCAGGAAGGAAGCGACGGGAAGUUUGCAGGAACAGUUCUGUCAGAAAACUCCCCAAAAUCUCCCAGGCCCUGGUGUGUGACCAAGGCUGCUCAACGGAGCUGCUCCUCCAGCGCCGGCACUGGGAGCCGGGGCCGGGACAGGUCUCGGUCAGAAGAUGACUGUUAUUUGCCUUAAAAAACGGUCCCAGCAGCAUCUUGCCGGCUCCUUCCUGGAGGAGGUCGGUCCUGCCCGGGACGGGGGUGAGGACACCCCCAGUAUCUGUCACGGGGAGCUGGGACGAGGGCCAGCGCAGAGGGCAGGGGUGCUCAGAGGGGACGCUGUGACUGUGAGUGGUGGCAUGGUGACAGUUGUCCCAUCGCAGAUAAGCGAGAGAAAGCCACAGCUUCACGAGAUGACAACGCUCGUGUUUCUUGAUUCACAAGCCAGAGCUGUCAAUUAGCAGACGGAGCAUCGACUCCAACCGCCGUCCCCAGAAUAGCAGCAGCCAAGUGUUGAAGCAUCUAUUAAAUUUAUUUUAAACCACACAAACCGAGACACGUGACUGCUCACGUUAUUGCAGCGUGGCAGGACGCCCUGCUUGGCUUCACCACGGAUUGAUUUUGUCCCUGUGGGCAGUUUUCAAUGGAGUGCAUGGUGGUAGGAGUCAGGCCAAAAGUGUGUUUAACCACAGCUGAUAGCAAGGAGGGGUGUGAGAUACCAGGUACAGUUCCUGGUAUGUGUCCUGGCUUCUCUUCUCUGUGCUGUCCCCCACUGGAUUGCUGACCUGGGACAGCCUCUGAUGGGCACCCACACCGGGAGGUAGGAUUGAGCUGACAGGGAAGCUUUGUGGGCAACACCCGUCUCACCCCUGAACAGGGAUGUCCUGCAGGAGCAUGGGGGGUGUUUUUUGCCAAAACACCGUUUGCUGGGGAGCAUCACCAGCAGCUUUGCCAGCCAGCAGAGCUGGCUGAAGCCUCGCUCCCUUCCUGGGGUUUUAAAGGUUUGGAAGAAGAUUUGCAGAGUUCCGGCAUCACUGGAAAAAUGGGUUCUUGCUCUGGUGCUGCAGCAGGUCCCCGUUGUUAUGACACAUGGGGCGCAAGUCCCUCCGGUCCCUCCCGGUCACUGUCACGCCCUUUUCUCCUCACAAACCUCUAUGGGAGCACUUUGUUCUUAACAUAAUUUCAAUUAUGUUUGAUGAUUAAUUGCUCAACUGCAUGAUCUCAAACAAUGGACUGAAUUGAUUGAAAGCAUGGUAAUUCAUGGGGUGGGGAGAUGCUUUUAACUGUGAUUUUGCAGCAGAUAAUGCUUCUGGUAAAGGAUUACAUGUGGUACCGGGGACGUAAACACGGUGGGUGUGCAGGUAGUGUUCCCAGCCGCGCUCUGGGGUGUGUCUCAAACACCCCUGGGUUUACCUGCUGCCUUUGCCUCUUGCUCGGACCCUGUCCCAGGGCACAGAGCAUCCAAGCAGGGGCGAGGGGCCAGCCAGGGCUUUGCAGAGAUGAACCAUGCACAGAGAGGAUGCCCAGCACCCAAUCAGGGCCUCUGCAGAGAAGGAUGGACACUCUUGUGCUGGUCUGAGCCAUCCUGAGCUCACGCUGGAAUAUUUUCAUGCAAGAAAAUGAAGGUUGGUUGUAAAAGGAUGUGAAUGGCUUUCUGGAAAUGCAUCAACAAAGGCUGAUAAUGUUUUUAUGGUAGUAUUUCUUACUUUAAAAUGUGCAUUUGGAGGAAGAGCAAAGCCAGCUGAACGUUCCUGCAGGAGAGGGGUGAGGACAUCCCAUGGAGCCACUGGCCAGGUGUUGUCCGGGACCCCCUAGCCCACUGGGCUCCCCGUCGCCAUACAGUAUUUUAGAAAGCACCUUUCCUAAGUUAUUGGUUUUUCUCCCUCGCAGGUGGAGAAAUGGAGGGCAGCGCUGCGCAGCCUGCCUGUGAGCCUGGCUCCCCGGGAACGCGCUGGGAGGACAUUGAUUUAUGAUCAAAAGGGAAAAAGCAAAGCAGAAUAAAAAGAAUACUUAAGGCUUAAAAACAGGGAAAUCUCGUUUCUUCCUGUGAGGGUGUUACCUGGGAAUCUUUCAUGUUAAACUUAAAUGGAAUUAAGAAUGAGGGGAAAAUCACCCUGGGACUUGCAUGAUCCUUGUAGCCCUCUAUUAAAAUUAAUCCAGGCAUUGAUCUGUACAAUUUAUUAAUAGCCAGGUGUGGGGAGUGGAGCAGCCGCGGCAGCAGCCCCGGCCCUGGCUCCAGCAUCCCGCUGCAGCGCGGCCCAACGUGUUGUCACCUCGACGCCCGCAGAUUUUAUAAUUGGUCUGAGAGUCGUUACCGUCCCAGCCCUGCAGAACCAAUUAGCCAUCGUCCUCCCUGACCCGGGCCUGCGGUGGCGGGGGGGAACUAAAGACUUAAAACGCAAAACCAAGAGCAAAGACCUAAAUCUUUUUGGCUGCCUGAUUAAUAAUCCUGUCAGGCCUAUCACAGGCACUAAACAGUAAUGCUGGUUGCAGCUGAAUUUUUUAUACUUUCUAUUAAUCUUUAAUGAUAGCUUGGUCACCUAGUCUCUUUUAUCUUGUCAGAUAAAUGUAUGGUUAACAGGAUAAUGAGAUUUCUAAGGCUCUGUUCUAGCUUACAGCCAUGCGGUGCAUGGGGUGACCCCUGCCCCUGCCGGGGGGCGGCGCGGGGGUGACGGUAAUUGCUGGAUGUGCCGUGAAUGUAUUGGGAGCUGAUGGAUGGUUUAAACUUUGAUUUGAGGUCAGGAGGUCCCUCGGCUCUGGAAGGCAACUGUGGUUUUAUUACUUGCAGGAUCUGAUGGGGAUGUAAUUAGAUUUAGCUAUUGCUUUAUUAAUAAGUAAUCGUUCCUACUAUUGCUUUGGGUUAGCAAAUAUAUUCUGCUGAUAAUUUAGGGCAUUGAUAUGGCUUUAUUUAUUAAUAAAUGGGAAUGUAUAUUUUUGCCCGUAGCAAAGACUAGCCCAGAACUCUGUCUGGACACUUCUCCCGGAGUGAAGGAUUUGUUCUUUAUUAGUGCAAUAAUUAACCUAAUUCUGAGAACUUGGCUCUGCUGUGGAAAGUGUGUGCGCUCUUCUGUGACGCCAGCCAUUGUGUGCCCGGGACCUGAGGGAGGCUGAGCUCCCCGUGAGUGCUCGGUGCUGCACCCCAGGUGUCCCCCAGCUCCAGGUGUCCACCAGCCCCCUAUGUCACCCUAGCCCUUGUGGGGCUGCUGACAGAGGCCCUGGGGCCAAGGGCAGAGAGAUUUGCAGGGAGGGUGGAUGCAAGCAUCGUUCCAGUGUGAGCAUCGUUCCCAAUAUCCAGGUUUGCUGGUGGAGUCAGCUCUGGUCCAUGGGAGCCCUCCAGACUCCUUGCUUACCUCCCUGUGCUGUGGUGCUCUCCCCCAUCACCCCUCAAAAGUAUGGGUGAAGCCACCACCCCAGGAAGGGACCCCAGAAUCCUCCAGCAUCUCCAGCGUCGGUGGGCGGCUGCUCGGGGUGUCCUGGUUUGCAGCCCACAUCAGGAGAUGCGUUGGGCUGGUUCCUGCUGGGUGUCUUUUCCCCUUUUUACUUAUUAUUUUAUUUUCCACUGGGAUGGCGAGGUGCUUGUGGCAGUACCAGCAACGUCCUGAGCCCCUUCCCCAGCCCCGUUUCCAAAGGGAUGUGGGUGCUCAGCAUGGGCACACCAGAGCCCAGCAGUCCCCACGCACAGCCAGGACAGGACACCUGUAUUUUGGUGGCAGGAUGGCUUUUUGUUGCUUUGCCACUCAAAGGAAGCUCCUUGCAUUAAUUAUGUUUCCAUGUAGAAAGCUCUGGCCUGUCAUACUUUUUUCUUUUUUUUUUUUAGCUCUGUUUUUCAUAAAGUGGUCCUAAAAUGACACGGAAAGCAGCUGCUUAAGCAAUUGUGCCAAUUAAUGGGUCUCUGAAAUUAAAACGCCUACACAGUCUAGAUGAGAUUUCUCCAGGAGGGAAUUCAGCAAUUGUCUUCAUGAUAAUCAGGCUUGACUUGUCUUAGCACACAUUAAUAAAAAAGCAAAUGCAUUCAAAGAGAUGCCCUUUAGUGGAGAAUAUCCACAAUAUAGUAAUGAGUCUCCAAAAAAAAGGGGGGAGGGGGAAAGAGGAGGGAUGCUGAGCUGGCUCCAGCCUUUUCUUGAGGGAGGGAGACUGGUAAUUCAUGUCAUGGACUCGCUGGAUUCUCUCGCCUCAGCUGCUGAAUGUAAAUCUCUGCAUGUUGUUGGAGCAGAGCGGUGGCAUCGGCUGCAUGGGAAGGUCAACAUGGGGUUUGAACUGGAGCAGAGACACUGGAGCUGUGGAGACGGGGGCUCGACUCGGGGCUGUGGGGAGCAGCAGAGAUGUCAUAUGUUAUUUCCCCCUAUAACAAUGCCAUCCAGCACCCAGUCCUGCCCUCGCCCUGCCCCAUGUGUCGGGACAGGCAGGUCAAGGCUGCCGGCACAGCCCUGCAGCACCUGCGCUUGUGUCAUCUGCAUGGGGUUUGUAGUUCCAGUGUAGAGUUGCAGUUGACUGACAAGGGGUUUUGCUCCAUCUGGAGGAGCUGAACAUCACGGCCACCAUCCGUGCUCAGGGGUUUUCUGGCAUCUCCCUUGCUGGAUUGCCACCGAAGGAGCUUGUGGCUCCGCUGCAGAAAACUCACCGCAGCAAAUGGAGUGAUGUCGAGGAGGCGUCUGGUUGUGGAACAGGAGCUCUCUGCUCUGUUUGGCUCCUCGUGACUUUGUUUUUGGCUGAGGAUGGGAGAAAAGAGGUGGCUGGGCUCUUUGGUGGCUGUUCCUGCAGCACGUGGUGGUGAUGACUGCUGUGUUUUGGGGGAAGCCAGCGGUGGGGGCGAGCAGGGCAGACACAUGGCACCGGCUGAUGUGGAGCUUGGAUUGCACCCAGGGUCUCCUCGUUCAGGAGCUCCAUGUCAGCCGAAAGCCCUGGGAGCUCUUGGCCUGACAGCACAAAUCCGCAUGGGGUGAAUGGCCGGCUCACCCAGAGCCUGGAACACGGGUCCUUUCUCAGCUCCUGCAUCCUUGAGGAUGCUAGAGUGCCCUGAGGGGAGGACAGGUCCCAUCGCUGUGCUGGGGCCUGAAUUUGUGGCGGGUGCUUUUGCUGUCACCAUUAAUGUCAGGUGUGAGAAAGGAAACAUUGUGAGUAGAGCAAGAUGUUUAUUUUCCAAGUUAACAACAAUAAUAAACUCUGUUAUUGCAGCAGCAUUUUCAGCAUGGUCCCAGAGGUGUGCACGAUGAUUGUGAUAGUCCCGGGAUUUUUGCAGCAAAAAUGCCUUCCUGGGGAGGCCCUGGCACUAAAUCCAGUGGCAGGAGGCCAGAAUGGGUGGUUUUAUCCUGCACCAGAAUGCGAUGAGUUUCCCACAUCCCUCUCCAGUGCAUCAUUACGCUGUUUUUGGAAACAGGGACUUGCAUUAGUGGUAAGUGGCCACCCAUUUUCCCCCAAUGUAAACAAGGUUUAGGAGCAUAAGUUAAACCAUCCGGCUCUAUCCUGUGAUGAUUAUUUGGGUUGUUUUGUCCAAGAGCAUAAUCUGGAUGACAAGGCAAACACCAGGCAACAUGAGCAUCCACACAGAUGUCCCAUGCCCACAGCAGUGUCCUGGCAGGGUCCCAGCAGGGACCAUGGCCAUGGACAAGCUAUGGGUGCUGCAGCCUGUGUGCUCAGUGCAUGCGUGUGCAAGGUGCGUGUGUGUGCUCAGUGCAUGCAUGUGCAUGCCUGCAGGUGCGUGUGUGCUGCAGCCCGGGGAACCUGCAUGAUUAUCCCUGCGUUUAGCACCUCGUUUCCUUCCUCUCUUAAUUAACUGCUCUGGUAGUAGAUCUCUGUUUAUGCUUGUUCGGUGGCUGCAGCCUUCUGACAGUUUGUCUGGAAAAGUCUUCUUCCCCCCAUCCCUUGUUAUUUUCAUUUCAGAAAUUUAAGAGGCUUUCAGAACAAAAGUAUUUAGAGCAAACACAAUCUUUCUGUAUGCAAAAUUGAUGAAAGAAAAAGACUUACAGCUCUAAAAUCCACUGCUGCUGCUUAUAUAUGAAAGCAAAGCCUUGAGUUCCCAUAAAACUAAUUAGAGGGGGACUGGCAGGAGCAGCUGCUGAGCUGGAGCCGGUGCCAGGGUCCCUUUGGCUGUACCCCAACUGUCCCAUCCCUCGCUGUCCCCCAGGCUGCCCCAAGCCGCUCCUGCAGUUCCUGCCCUCACCCCGGCUCUCCCAGGGUCCCGGUCCCACACCCCUUGGGCACCCAUGGGGCGGGCAGGGGCUGCCAGCUGUGCCCAGGAAGACAAGGGAUCCCACGAAGCAUUCAUUAUAUUUUUAAAAUCCUCAACAGUGUUUUAUAUUUUCAGAUCCAUCCUGGUUUGAGCAAAUAUUUUGAUUGCAACUAAGUGAGAACAUAACAAAUGCUAUUUAGACAAAAGCAACACAUUCACUAUUAGUUUUAGACAAUUCGUCCUAAUAUUGUUUUGAAUCAUGCAUUUAUUCCCCCAUAAAGAUUUGAUUACUUUGCUUGUUUCAUUAAUCUUUAUUUGUUUAAUCAUCUGCUAAAUCUGUUUAAUCAUUGGUUUAAGUGGAAAGAUUACAUGAAGAUAUUUAGUGCUUAGUGCCAGAGCUGCCCUGACAUCUCAUCCAGCACUCUUGUAUCGCUUUUUAUUGCCCUGGGUCUUUGUUUUGUGCAGCAAGACCCACCUGGCUCCCUCCCACUGGGAUUUUCCCGACUUGUCCAUCAUUUCCCAGCGCUGGGUGGCCAAACCAAAGAAGAAAACCCUCCAACCUGCCUCUCCACUGUGUGGCAAAUGUUUGCCCCGUGCUGGGGCUGGAGCUGGGAAGGCGGGGUCCCCAUCAUCCCACACCAGUGUUUGUGACACUGGGUUUUGUGUCAUGAAAUCAACUCCCCUGAAGCAGAGGUGCAGCUGGAGCUGGGCACCAGCAGCCUCUUUACCAACAAUGUCUAUGAUUCCAGGAUUCUGUGAUCAGGGGAAUUCAGAGACCUUAAGCUUUGCGGGCAGAAAUGGGUAAUUGCGGCUGCAGCAGCACUUGCAGGUUAAAGCCACCUCUAAGCCUGAAAACAGGAAUAUGUCUUCAGGCAAUUUAGCAAGGACACUCAAGGCAGUAGUUUAAUAAUGAUUUUCUUUUUUCCCUGGCUUAUUCCCUCUCCCGGUGGUUCAGCAGCCUUGCUCUGCCGCCCGGCCUGCUCCUCUCUGCCCCCGGCCACGAGAAGGGAUUAAAAUUUCAUGUGAUGGCCGUGUUUUCCGUCGCAGAGCCUGGGUAGGAAACAUGCAAUAUUUCACCAGCCUUCGUGUUUGUCUGCUCCUGUAAUCUGCAGCCUCAAUCACAGGUGCGAUGUUUAUGAAUUAAUAAAAAAAAAAAAGAUCAUGGACAGUCCGAUGGGACUUGGGGAGAAACAUGCACAGCAGAAUUUUAAUGAGCGUGGUGGGGAAUUUCAGCCCCCAUGGUUUUGCUGGGGGGGACACUUCUUUUUCCUUUUUCCCCCCUUUUUUUCUCCAGCAUCCCUGUGGGGUGCACGGUCCAGCCUCCCUCGGCCACCCACCGGGCAGGGCUGCGCCUGCACCAGCACUAAUUGCACCGACCAUCCGGCAAUUUGUGGUGUGCACCGGGCGCUGGUGGAUCUUUUAUGGCAGAUCUUGUACUCAUUACUGAAUAAUUCAUCGUUGCAUUAAUGUCUUCAGAUCCCAUCGCGCUCCCGCUCUCUCCUCCUCUCACUGCUUCGCUCUGCCCACUUGGGAAAACUUUAUUAUGCCUUGCUCUGACGACAGAGUAUACAGAUAAAAGAUAAUUGCUUGGCUUGACUCCCCCAUUGAUAUGAAAAUAAGAUUUAAAUUAUUCACUUCAGUUUAAAGGUUAGUUGAAGGUUAUUACAGGGGAUAAAAAAAUCACUCUUCAUAACAUUUCUGUUGGAGAUGAGACAGGUUUGAAAGGCCUAAUUUGCACGGCAGGCCGAGGCGGCUUGUUGUGAAUAAACCCAGAGACCCUCAAGAGAUUUUAAUCGCCAAGAAGUCAAUUAUUUAUAAGCAAAUUACACUUAGCUGCUUGGAUAUAUACAACACAGUUAGGCGUGAAUAGGGACAAAAUGGAACCUAUAUAACUUAAUAUACCUCCCAUUGCACAAUAGCGAAAUCUUUACACGGUGCUUUCCUGUUGCUAAUCCCAGCUGGAAUUUAAUGAGCGUCUGAAUUUCAGAGUGGGGCCUGAUCCUGGCACCCUUGGACUCCUGUUUAUUUUAUUCUUCCCCUUCGGUCUCUCGGCUUCCAGCCUCCGUCUCCAGCUCCCUUUUGUGUUGCCGCCUUGUAAAUGGAAUUAAAGGAUUGUAAAUUUUCCUGCCGAGCAAUAGGUCUUGAAAAGCGGGACGUCACUUUGCCGAGCGAUCGGCUUUAUCCAAGCUUUCACUUAAUGCUCUUUUAUGUAGGAGACUAUUUUAGCGUCUGGUGCUGGGAGAGUGGCAAAUCUCCUGUACAGAGUUAAUAAUUAAUGCCGUGGCGGCUUCUGGAAGCAGGGCUGUAUUUCAGCAGUGGGCUCGCCCUGACCGCAGCACUCUCUAUUAAUCAUCUGCACUUGCUGCUAUGCAAAUAAAUAGCUAUGGAAAACCAAAAUCGCUGCCCACUGUGCAAUGGGAUCCCAAGCCUCCGCAUAUAUAAUACAGCUGCAUAAACCACUAUUUCUGUAUGACUAUAUGUGUGUAAAGUAUACGUGUAAUAGAGAGAUUAUGUAUUCAGGCUUCAAACAUAGCUGCAUUAAAAAGACAUCUACAUCUUCCAGUUGGAUGCCUGCAUUAAUACAGGGAAAUGCAAAUGCGUUCUGCACCCCGGGGUGAGGGAGCAUUGCUUUGGAGUGGGGCACAGGGCUGGCAGCUCCUGCCCCCAUCUCCAUCAACGCUCAGUUCCCCUUGUAAAUCCCUGCGCUACCCGUAACCCCCAGGGCCGGGGCUCCCCAGGGCUCUCAGUCACUGUGAUUCACUGCUGGACCCCGCUUUUGGUUUAUUAUUGCUCUGCAAAAGUCUGGAUGGUGAGGGCUGAGCGCUCGCCUUGGGCUGAAAUUAUUUGAGUUUUGGGGCAACUCCAGCUGAAAUAAUAUAUCCCUGUCCUGCAGUGUAUUUAGAGGAAAAAAGGACUUUGCUUUGCCUCUGCACAGCCCCGGCGGUGGUUUGUGAUGGCUCUACAGAGCCACUCCAACCCCAAAGCUGUCCCCUGGGAGGGAUGCGCCUUGCUGGCCUGGCUGAGAGGCAGCCAGCCCUGGCUGAAUUAAGGCCUUUGGAUAAUUUUCCUAUGGAACCCCCCCCCUACAGGGCAGCAGCUUCUGUCGUGGGGGUUCCUACAGUCCUGGAGCUCCUCCACCUCCGCAGCCCUGGUGCAUUGAUGGUACCUGUUACCCUUCAGGUGGGAAGGACCUCCAUGUGCUGUUCAACUAUUGUUAAAAAAUUAAAAUCUUUCUAGCUAAGAAGAAAUCCAUACUAAAAUUAAUUACAUGGGUGUUGUGUUCCCUGCAUCCCUGUUGGACAUGACAGCUUUGAUGCGGGGGUUACAACAGCUUUUAGAAAAAGGUGAAAUUAUACCCAAAGACCAAUACAUUUGGCUGGUCCGUGUGCUGUGGCAGCUUUGCCAUUCUGUGCUUGCUUCACCUGGGCAGUGCAAAUUUCACUUUGGGAUUUGAGAGGUUUUUUUAUCGCAGUUUUUUUGUGUAAAAUAUUUGCCAGUCUGCUUUAGUUGUGUUACUGCUUGAUUAGGAUAUUCUGGAUAUUCUGCCUGUUUUUUUCUUAAUGCCACUGGUUUUCAAUGAAAUUGCCAAGUUUUGGCAAUGGAAAGUGUAUGGGCAACAAACUGUGUGGUCCCCGCUGGAUCUAGAAGAUAUUUUGGGUUUUUUUAAACUAGAUUUCUCACACACGUCCUUGGCUGCAGGUUCCUAUAGGUACAGAUUUUCGCAUGUUGCAUGUUAAAAACACAGACUUGGCGUUUUCCAGUGGGAUUUGAGAUGGAAGAAGCAUUGAAAAGUGUCAUCCCUCUUCCCAGAGCAGAUGGUCCGAGUGGCAGCGGUGUCCCCACAGGGACAGGGCUGCUCUGGGGACAGGGCUCUGGUCACCCCCCGCAGUCCCGGGGACUGUCACCGCACAAGUGCUGCUAAUCAGGCAUCUUCCUCGGCAGCACGACCAGCAAGCCUGCGAGCUGUCAGCCGGUGUUAUUUAUGCGUGUGUAUUUUGUUUGAAAUGAGAUGUAAGCAAAGCCCAUGUGUGCCUCCAAUCUCCUUUGUAGCAGAAGAAAGGAAAGAGAGCAGAAUAUGUUUGCAAUCAUGUCUGGCCCUUGAUUUGUAGUUUUGCUCGGUGUCAAGCCGGGGUCUGGGGCGUACCUGCCGCUGCAGCAACGUGGGAGCUGAGCUGUUUCUGUAUGCACAGAGGUGUCGUGUUCCAGUUAAACCCUUUUACCUUUUAUUUAAAAUUCACAGAGGCUUGACAGGUAAUCUCAGGAGCUGGAUCAUUAUGGCAGCCAGAGCUAACCUGUAGCAAAUGAUGCCUUGUAAAUCUCCCGGCUGAAGUAAUGGGCUUUAUUCUGCCUCCCUUUGCUUGUCACCAAGUGGUGGAUGCCCCAUCCCUGGAGACAUCCCAGGCCAGGCUGGAUGGGGCUCUGAGCAACCCAGGCUGGUGAAGAUGUCCCUGCUCAUGGCAGGGGUGGCACUGGGGGAGCUGGGAAGAUGCCUUCCAACCCAAACUCUUCUGUGAUGCUGUGAGAAGCACUGGGAGCGGCUGGUCAUGAGUGGGGAUGCUCCAGCCAGGCUGGAGCAACUGUUGGUGCCAAACUGGGUCCGGCCCCUGCUGUGGGCAAUGUCUGCAAAUCUUACCAGUGCCUUGGGAGGGGGAGGAUGCAAGAUCCUGGGUAAGGCCUGAAUUAAUAUGAAAAUCCCCAAAGUCAGAGUCCCACUGAGCACAUCAGCCCUCAGCAAGUUUCAUACAGAAGAGGUGAACACACAGGCUGCGAAAGAUCUUUACAGAUACCCAUAAUAAUAGUAAUAAUAAACAAUGAUAAAAAUUAUUAUAUAAAUAUAUAUAUAAAUAUAUAAAUAGAGAAACAGAUUAACAAAUGACCUGCACCCCAGCCCGUGUCCGGCGGUGGAGCUGGUCCUGGCGCGGGCGCUGCCGUGGGCUGUGUCACAGCGGUGCAGGCUGCGGUCUGGGUUUUCGCCCAGCCAUUGCACGGUGUCUGGGCGGGGAGAGAUUAGAGAACUAAUUGGGUGGAAUUGGUGGAGCUGGAAUACAUAUUGAUGGGGUUGUCAGGAUGAUUAUAUUGCUGAGGGCAUGUACAGCUGGGGAGGGAGUGCUUUGAUCUCGCAGAAACCACGUUGCAUCUCCUGUUCUCAUUAUCAGAGGUGUCUUCAGAGCCUCUUUUAAAGCACCCCAAGGUGGCCACCCUGGGGGAUCUGGGAGGUGAAGGAGGGUGAGGGGGCGGGAAGGCUGCAGGGCCAAAAAGUGUCAUUGCUGGACCCUACUCCAGCCAGAAACAGAUGAGAAUCAGCAUCCUGUGCCUGCCCCUGCUACCCGGGACAUCCCGCUAUCCCCGGGGAGUUGCUCUGCCCAUCACCUGGGGAAGCUGCGAUAGCACCAGCCUCCCUUCACAGCCAGAGGUGCUUUCCUUGCUGCUCCCUCACCUCCAGCACCGGGUAUCAGCUUCCCUGGUGCUAAGUGCCCAUGAAAUGAAAUACUCAUCAGGGGAAAAAUUGUGUGGGAGGUUUAAAUGGGAGUGCCCAACACGGGCACCAUCCCUGGGUGUUUCUGGGGGAGGAGGAGGUGCCAGCAGUGCUUUCCGCCUCCCAAAACCCCGCAGCCUUAGGGGAGCCUGGAGCAGAAAAUACUGCCCAGGAUUUUAGCGGCUCGUGCUGAGGCCAGGCCCAUCGUACUCCCCCGGCAGCCUUCCCUCGGUGAACAGAGGGAGAAAAAUUCCUCUUAAAUCAUUCAGUGGUUCUCUAAUGUAUUCACAAUGUGGACUACAGAACAAGAUCUGAAACACUCUUUUUUCCAGUAAGACUAUUAAAUGGUGACACUUUGACACCAGAAAGAAGUAUAUGAGAUUAAAAAGUAAAAACUGCAUAGAAAUCUAAGUGCCUUCACAUAGAGUUAGAAUAAAAAUUGCUGUUAGGAGCAUUAAAAUAGAGUACUUGUCAGGAGCGACGGAUUCCAGAGACGUGCCUGCUGGUUUCUGUGGCAUCGAUGCAUGUGGUUUCCUCUGAGGGAAAUUACAGAGCAUUUAGAGGAGGCAGAGGAAGCACUGAGGUGAGGAUGAAGGUGCAGAGGGAGGGGUGGGGCCAUGUUCCCGGACCAGGGCUACAGCCUCUCCUCUGGGGCGAUUGGGUGGCCGAGGGACCAGGGGGGUCCGGCGGAGGCCGUUUCAUCUGCCCAUGACAUUUGAAAUGCCCUGGAGGCAGCUGGUGGAUGAAAGCAGGAGACGAAGGAGCCGGCUUUUCUUGGCACGAUUAAUCAUUUAUUAGCUAAUCAAGAAUGCUCGCAGGAGAUGAGGAGAGCAAGAGAAGCUCGUUUCUAAUAGGAAUUAGUUAGCUUACGGUUAUUUUUUCCCCUUGCUCUGAUUUCCCAAGGAAAUGAUGCUUGCGCAGCUCUGCUUCUUCAGCAGUCCCAAUUCCCUGCACCCCCGGACCCUCUUGCAGCCCGGCUGGCUGGGGCAGGUCCCUGACCCAGAAAACCACUUUGUGUCUGAAAUUCGCAGCACAGAGCAGCAAAGAAGCAGAGCAGGGGUACUGGCCUACUUCAGAUUAAAUUUCUGCAGUUGCCAGCACGGGGAUUCUGGCCUGUGUGCUGCCUUGGGCAGCACAAAGAGCUGCUGGAGCCCCGUGGACCCCCGACUCUCCCCCAAACACAGUGGGGAGAAAGGGCACCAUGCUCAGCUGACCCCAAAGGCUGCUGGGGAUGGUGAAGCUGUUCUGGCACUGCUGCCGGCAAUCAGACAUGUACCAAGCAGGACUGAGUCCUGCUUGGUUACGGUACCGUUCUGCCCAGCAGGAACCUCUCUUAAUUGCAGCUGGAGCUUGCAGCAUGGGGCAGAGCAAUCGCACCGCCAGCCCUGGUCGGGAGAGACGCCUUGACAAGCCAAGGCAAAUCUGCAGCUGUUGGUGCUGCUGAGCAGCGAUGGCGCUGACGGAGCCGUGCACGGGGUUUGUGCUGGUGCGGGUUGGCAGGACUGUGUCCUGCGGUGCAGGCAUGCAGGGAGGGCAGGCGGCAUCGGUGUCCAACAGGCACAGCGCUCUCUGUGUGAUACACACAACAAAAGGAGACUGGAGUGGGUAUGGAGAUGGUCUCACCCUUGUCAUCUUGGGGAAACCACAUCUUGGAGGGGUGCUGGCACAGGAAGCCUUCGGUGCUUUGCACCUCCUGUCAAGGUCAAGCCUGGGGCUGCAGCAGUCGGUUUGGCUGGCAUAUUCCCAUCUGGGAUGCUUCUCCAUUGUGUCAGCAUUAUUUCUUCAUGCCCUACAGACAAACAUGUCAUGGUCUGGAAGAGAGAAUAGGGAGAAAUGGGAGAGGUUUGUUGUCAGGAGCUCAAGUGGGCAGAGGCAGGAGGAGCUGGAGGACCAGAAGGACCAGGAGAAGGACCAGAAGCAGCUGCCCCGGCCCUAGCUGCAGCCCAGCCUGUGCAUGGGAAGGUGGCCAGAUCUGGACCCGCUUGCCCCACUGCCCCACACAUCCCUCCAGCAUCCCUGUCCCACCACGGAGAGGGGGACAGGAGGGACAGGGGAGCUCAGGGCUACACAAACCCCAUGAAAGGGCUCCCUGGGCUGAGAUGCUGCUGGCAGAACCUGGAGCAGGCAGGGGCAGGAUUCAUGCUUGUUCUGGAGCAGAGGGCUUCCCUGAGCUCUGUACCAGCCCUCAGUGCCGGGACAGACUUUCCAAGUUGUGGUUCUCUGGAAAGGUGUUUUGGGCAUCAAACCCGGAGCUGUGCCCCAUGGCAGUUCCACAGCAUUGCAGGACAUAGGUCUCCAACGGGGCUUUCCUGUGGGGCUCAAGGGCUGUGGGCAGCCCCCCCGGCUCAGGCCCUCUCCCAGGAGCAGCAAAGUAAUUAGUGACUUUUGUUAAACCUCCACCUUCUGGAAUUGUGGUAUGUGAAAAUCUCCUCUUCUUCAGAAGAGAGUCAGAUUUCAGCCUUCAUGGUUUUAAAAAAUGAACACUAGUCUCUCAAACUAAAUAAAAAUAAGACAAAAUAUAUUGCAUUUUAAAAUCUUGUGACAUUUUGGGGACUGACUCAUGAUUUUUGAAUGUUUGGAACUGGUAACGCUCCAAUCAAUUUUGCUGCUUCCUUGGAUGAUUGCUUUCAGAGAGGUUUUAAUUCUACUAUAAAUACUUGAGCUUUGCAACAGCAGCCUCAGUCAGAUAUGCAAUAACACCCCGUUCUGCAUUUCAGGUAAGGCUUUAAACUAAAUUAAAUCUCCUCAGUAUAGCUAAUCAGAGAUUAGCUUUGAUCACAGUUUGUUAGCCCAGGCCAAUCCUAUUCAAAUCCUCUGGCAGACCUAAUAUCAAGAGUGCUUUGUCCUGCGCUUACAACGUGAAGCCCAGUCCCCAAGGCAAAACAGAGGAGCUUUUUUCUCUUCUACUUCUAGCUAGUUCUCUACAUGCAGUGAAACGUGUCUCUAGUGCGGUCAAUGGCUCCCGCUGCCCCGGGCCGGGUGCUGGUGGGUGUCCUAUGCAUGCAGCUGGCCUGGCAGGCACUGGCUUUGGGGCUGAUCUCAGAUUGUGCCAGGGAAGGUUCAGACUGGAUAUUAGGAACAAUUUAUUCCUGGAAAGGGCUGUCCAGGGCAGUGGUGGCGUCACCAUCCCUGGAGGGGUUGAACAGAUGUGGAGAUGAGGUUCUCAGGGACAUGGGGUGGUGCCAGCGUUGAGGUAACAGUUGGACUCAGUGAUCUUUGGGGUCUCUUCCAACCAAAGCAAUUCUCUGAUUCUACCAGCUCCCAGCCAUUCCUCUGGGCUUUUCUCCCUUCCCCCUGCAUCCACCAAGGCAGUGAAAAUCGUACUGGGAACGGAAACUGGAGUUGGGUUGUUUUGCUAGAGCCCGGCUAUAGAGUACCAAGAACGAAAUCAUGUCAAGAUCCUCGAGUCCAGAUUUAGUAAUCCUCUUUGCUGCUUUCUACUUUAUUCAGUAUGUUUUAAAGCAAUGGAAUAUGGUCUCUUUCUCUCAGAGCACAAGUGGUGCAACAGCAGAGUGAAAUCAGGCAGGACCCUGCGGCUGAGGUUGCUUCCCAAGGGCUCCCAGAGACGUAGGGGUGUGCAGAGGCCGCUGUGUUCCCUGUAGCACAUGGCUGCGCUUGCAUGCACGGACACGCGUGUGCUUGUGUGUCUGCUGUGUCCGCACAGUGCCCGUCCUGCAUCUCCCUUCAGUGAGAGCGCUGCUGUGGCCUCUGCCAGCCGGAGCAGCACUGGGGACAGCGGCCGGGCUCAUUUUGCUGAGGUGGCCACAGAGGACGCAGCGUUCAGGGAUUCUUGCCGUGAGCAUCCACCAUCUCCUGCAUCCAGUGCACAACACUUGCUGCCCUCCUGUAUUGAACAGAGCCAACCCUUUCUCCUGGUUAGAAAUGUCCUCCGUAGUUGUUCUUCUGUAUUAUUUAUAGCCCAGUAAGUGUCUGAGAUCACAAACGCUUACUUAGCUACCUAGCAGAAUUCCUGUUUGAAACAAUACAGCUUGACUGUUGCUAUUGAUUUUAGGUAAGAGUUCCUUUGAGCCAACUGGUAUUUUAAGCAAUCAUUUCUACAGCAGAUGACAUAACUCCCCCAGCAUCAGUUUGCCCUAAUGGGCCUGGUAUUAUUCAUGUGCUAAUUGAUUGGGCAUGGAAAGGAGAAAAGCUGAAUUCACUUGCGAGGUGAUUUUUAUGGCCAGGCUCAUAACAGAGGUAAUUUACUGAAAACGUUCAGUCCCUCUCGGGUUAUGUACCAUCAUCUGCGUUCCUGCACUCCAUCUCUGUGCCACGCUUCAAUCAGCAAACCAGGCUCCGGUUGGGGCAUCUGAGGUAAAGUCCCCAAGGAGUCACCAUGACAGAAUAUUUCUUCCUUGUGUGUCGAAGUGAAUGUGGAGAUCAGGGAUGGCACAGAGAGACCUGCUGGGUCUGCCUGGGGAGUCCCGACCACGCGGGACUUCGUGCUCCAAAUCCCACCCCCAGGGAAGGCUCUGGAACAGCUCUGAUUGUCCUGUUGAAACCUUCUGUUUCAGUGCAGAAUAUUAAUUUCUGCAGCAGUCAGAUAGAGUUUCUUCCCUCAAACGUUUAUGCCUCUAUUUCCUGUGCACAAAUCCGUCGGGACGGGGAAAUCAAGGCAAACCCUUCACGUCUGCUGUUAAGAAACCUGGAAGUUUAACAACCCCAGGAAGGUGGUUAAAACUGUGACUUGAGCUCUCAUCCCAAAGCAGCCCCUGGAAAGCCCCAGAUCUGCCCCAUGUUUCUGCCCAGGUGAUGCUCAGCUGUGAUGGGAACAACCAGGCAAUGGGCAGCAACCCUGUGCAAGGACAGGUGCUUUCAGGCAGUCAGGGGUAUUCUCUAACAGGUGAGGACUGGUGCCUUUGAAGUCAUCAGCUGCCGGCCUGAAAAAUCAGAACUGGAGCCUGGAGUAUCACUAGAUCUUGGAAGAGAUGUCAGAAACUGGUCCUCGUUAUCUCGCCAAAGACUGAUGGGUUUCUAAAGCUGACAAGGUGAGCUUGUGUACGUGUAACGGCAUGUAAUGUCUAGCUAACCUGAAAUUGCUGAAAUAUUCCCAGAGCUAGAAGAAAGCCAGUCAGUCCUGUAGAAAAAACAACAAAAACAGGCUUGUUCCGGACUCUGCUGGAUCACACUGUUGAACCAGAUCAGAUGCACUGUGAAAUUUUGAGUAGCCCUUUAAUUGGGAUUGAGGCCAGGAGGAAAAUGCAAAGCUAUCCCCAUCCAUCCCAGUUAUCCCCAUCCACUCCAGAGUUAUCCCCAUCCAUCCCAGCAGGGCAGUGUGACGGAUGCUGCUGCCCUGGGGUGACACUGGCUGCAUCAGCAUCUGGCCAGUGCAGAGAAAAAGUGCAUCUGUCACCACGUGCCUGAGUGGGGACCCUCAGCAGGGACCGGCCGUGACUGCAUUGUGCUUAUCUUUUGGAAGGGGAGUCCGGAGGCCUGGGGAAGUGUCAGGAGCUCUGGGAGGUCUGGCCUCAUUCCCAGGGUCUGCAGGGAGCCCAAGGUGGGAUUUCCCUUCUCUUGGUGCUUCCUGGCUUUGCAGAAAGAAGGAAAAUAGUGAAGCAAGGCGAGGGAGGUGGCACAGCACAGGCUGUCACCCCCUUGUCACCAUGAGCAGCUCCGUGUCCCUUGUGUCCCUGUGGGUGGCCCCUGGGGGAGGGUGCGGGGGCUUGCCCAGUACAGGGCCAGUCACUGCCACAUGGUGGGGCAGAGAGGCCCUUGACAGAGGGUGACAGGAGGGACAGGGCCACCCAAGGCCCCAUCAAGCCCCCUAGGACAAGGGCAUCCCUGGUUUGCGGUGCAGCAUCCUCUGCCCUGACCCUCCUGCCUGCAUCCCCUGAUCUGGUUAAUGCUUCCAGCCAUCCCUUCCUCCUCCACUUCUUCCUCCUCCUCCUCAGCCUCACUCCCCGCUCCAUCCCUGCCAGCUGCAGGGACCAGAGCGCUGGGGGCUGUGGGGCUUGGCCACCCUGGGGGGAGCCCUGCACCCUGCAGCACCUGCUGUGUCACCUCCACUCCCUGCAGCACCCGCUGUGUCACCCCUGCACCCUGCAGCACCCGCAUUGUCACCCCGCAGCAGCCGCUGAGUCCCCAGGCUGUUAUUUGUCCAGCUGGGCUAUUUGCAUCCUGCCUGGGCUGCACCACGAGUGUCUCCAGCCACCAGGGAGCUGUUUGCUUUGCUGCGACCUUUGUAUCUGUGGAAGAGACUCCAGACAAGGUCAGCUUUAAUAACAAGGCUGUUUUCCUGCGAUCGAUACGGAUGCUCAGCUCCCUCUGCACCGUCUGCACAUCGUGGUCACUCCAUCAGAUGGUGUCACCAGCAGAGAUGACGUUCAAGACACAGCGACUCCGAAUGCUGAGUGGAUGGAAGUUUUAUUGCUGCCAGCGAAGGAAUUUUCGUCACCUUUUAAUUUGGUCCAAACUAAUCCCUUCCUCAAGCUGGGCAAACAGUUUGGCUUGGCUGCCCUCCUGUGACUCAGCAGCAAAAUAUUUAAUGGAUCGAUAACCCCGCGGCUGAACCCUUCGCAGUGCUGUCAAUGAGGCUGUGUGCUAACAGUGCCAUCGAGACACAGCUAUUUAAUUUGGGGUGAAUUGUGUAAUUCUGAUACCGUCUUGCACUGCUUACAAUAAGUUGUUUUGAGACUUCAGAGCAUUCAAAAAUCUACUUUUCUUAAGAGAUUUCCAAGACAAACCUACCUUCAGCAGAAAAAAUAAAAACAAAAGCAAAACAAGAAACUAAACAAGAUGUAAAAUUCAAUUCUGAAAGGCCGUUUCUUUGCUAUGCAUCAGGAGACCAUGGCUCUUCAUAGGUGUUGUCCAGAAUUAAAAUUUCGGUAGCAAUGGUUGUAAAAAACAAUGCCAGGUUUAUGAGGCUUUUUUAUUUAAAUGUGUUAUUUCCUUUAAGGUGAAUUCAAAGCAAACAGUACUUGCUGUCUCACGCUGUAUCUGUGUGAUGCAGGUGAUGCGUGGGGAUGCUGGCAGUGUCCUGCUCUGAGCAUCCGCUGCCAUUAUCUGUGUUUGAACAGAGGCGAAAACCAAGCAAACCCAGCAAACGGUCAGAGAAGAGCUGUCUGGGAUCAAAUCAAACCAGGGAAAGCUUGGAUUUAUGGAGGGAAACGGCCAGCCCCUGGGCCCUUCCACAAACAUCUGGUGCGCGACUCAGCAGCAUCCAGCCAGCGGAAUUACGAGCGGGAGAGCGAGACCUCGGUGUGAUUCAGGCUGAACAACCACAAAUGGUUUGCAGUUGCGGCGGGCCGGGCUCCGUGCUGGGGCGGCUGCCAGUGCGGCCCCGCCGGGGGGAGGAGGAUGCUCAGAAACGCGGCCAAGAGUCCUCCGCACUGGCUUCCAUCGUACCCGGGACACGGAGAUGGGACCCCGGGACCAUCCUUGCGGCCUCGAGGAGCCCUGCACUGCCAGCACGAUGCUUUCCUGACCUAGUUUGUUGUUUUGGUUUUUUUUAAAUUUUGUUUCCUUUUUCACAGAUGAGCGCUCCAUCUGCAAGAGAUUGCUUCCUGACAUGAAAAAUUUACUUUUUAAUGGGCCAAACUGCUGCAGUUUCUAAGCUGGAUUCAAAAUAACCUCUUAGCACAUCACUCUAAAGGGAUCUCCAGCCAUCACCCAUAAAACUGAAACACAGUUUGUACUAAAAAGCCAUUUACAAGCCA